UACGAGGGGGGCAAGCGUUGUUCGGAAUUAUUGGGCGUAAAGGGCGCGUAGGCGGUGCGGUAAGUCACCUGUGAAAUCUCUGGGCUCAACUCAGAGUCUGCAGGCGAAACUGCCGUGCUGGAGUAUGGGAGAGGUGCGUGGAAUUCCCGGUGUAGCGGUGAAAUGCGUAGAUAUCAGGAGGAACACCUGUGGUGUAGACAGCUUACUGGACCACUUCUGACGCUGAGGCACGAAAGCGUGGGUAGCGAACAGG
Molecule: ribosomal RNA, 253 nt
Filed under: uncultured prokaryote
Description: partial 16S ribosomal RNA
Rfam family: Bacterial small subunit ribosomal RNA
Source: RNAcentral